RNAcentral lists this ribosomal RNA (554 nucleotides) under uncultured bacterium. RNAcentral describes it as "partial 16S ribosomal RNA". It matches the Rfam family "Bacterial small subunit ribosomal RNA", at positions 355 to 900 of the family's 1533-position model. The record is from RNAcentral.
UAGGGAAUCUUCGGCAAUGGACGAAAGUCUGACCGAGCAACGCCGCGUGAGUGAAGAAGGUUUUCGGAUCGUAAAACUCUGUUGUUAGAGAAGAACGUUGUGUAGAGUGGAAAAUUACACAAGUGACGGUAUCUAACCAGAAAGGGACGGCUAACUACGUGCCAGCAGCCGCGGUAAUACGUAGGUCCCGAGCGUUGUCCGGAUUUAUUGGGCGUAAAGCGAGCGCAGGUGGUUUAAUAAGUCUGAUGUAAAAGGCAGUGGCUCAACCAUUGUGUGCAUUGGAAACUGUUAGACUUGAGUGCAGUAGAGGAGAGUGGAAUUCCAUGUGUAGCGGUGAAAUGCGUAGAUAUAUGGAGGAACACCGGCGGCGAAAGCGGCUCUCUGGACUGUAACUGACACUGAGGCUCGAAAGCGUGGGUAGCAAACAGGAUUAGAUACCCUGGUAGUCCACGCCGUAAACGAUGAGUGCUAGUUGUUUGGGGCUAUCCAGCCCUAAGUGACGCAGCAAACGCAUUAAGCACUCCGCCUGGGGAGUACGACCGCAAGGUUGAAAC